UGUGAACAGGAGCCAUGGUUACAUUU
This 26-nucleotide non-coding RNA is filed under the name Homo sapiens (human). The record is from RNAcentral. Lineage: Eukaryota; Metazoa; Chordata; Mammalia; Primates; Hominidae.